This 468-nucleotide ribosomal RNA is filed under the name uncultured bacterium. RNAcentral's name for it is "partial 16S ribosomal RNA". It matches the Rfam family "Bacterial small subunit ribosomal RNA", at positions 28 to 507 of the family's 1533-position model. The record is from RNAcentral.
GACGAACGCUGGCGGCGUACUUAACACAUGCAAGUCGAACGGAAAGGCCCUGCUUUUGUGGGGUGCUCGAGUGGCGAACGGGUGAGUAACACGUGAGUAACCUGCCCUUGACUUUGGGAUAACUUCAGGAAACUGGGGCUAAUACCGGAUAGGAGCUCCUGCUGCAUGGUGGGGGUUGGAAAGUUUCGGCGGUUGGGGAUGGACUCGCGGCUUAUCAGCUUGUUGGUGGGGUAGUGGCUUACCAAGGCUUGGACGGGUAGCCGGCCUGGGAGGGUGACCGGCCACAUUGGGACUGGGAUACGGCCCAGACUCCUACGGGAGGCAGCAGUGGGGAAUAUUGCACAAUGGGCGGAAGCCUGAUGCAGCAACGCCGGGUGCGGGAUGACGGCCUUCGGGUUGUAAACCGCUUUCGCCUGUGACGAAGCGUGAGUGACGGUAAUGGGUAAAGAAGCACCGGCUAACUACGUG